CAAAGACAUGAACAAAGACAUGAACAAUGAUGAACAACCAAUCGAUCAUGCGCAUACAACAUAUACAGGAGAUUUACAAUAUAUUACAGCAUGCGGCAAAAAAACUGCAGACAAUAUAAAACUAUACGAAGAUAUGAUAAUAUAUAGUAAAAAAAAGGGAGAAGAAAAAAAAGGAGAAGAAAAAAAAGGAGAAGAAAAAAAAGGAAAAGAAAAAAAAGGAGAAGAAAAAAAAGGAGCAGAACAAACCGACGGUUCAAAUGAUAUAGAUAACAUUUUAAAUAUUUUUUAUAAAAGUAAUAAAGAUGAAACGUCUGAACAUUUAAAAAAUGUUUUAAAAAAUUUAGACACAAUAAAAGAUAAAAAAAAAAUCGAUUUUGCAUUAAUAUAUAACAUUUUGAAUACAUAUAUUAGUACAAAACGGACAAAGAAUAUAUUAUUAAAUGGAUCUACUAAACAAAUGGAUGUAUCAAAUUUGGGUGAUAAUGAGAGUCGUACAUAUGAUUCAUCAUUAUCAGUAGCAACAACAGGAGUGGACAAAGAUAAACAUAAGACAUCUAUGAGGGAUAAUAUCAACAUGUCCGCUACCACUACUCCGAUCACCACUACUCCAAUCACCACUACUAACGAAAGUAGCUGUGAUUGUUUUUUAAAUUUUUGUACCCCGUGCAAACAUAAAACAAAUACCAUAUCUUAUAAAAAACUAAACUGGUAUACAUAUUGUAAACUUUUUAUAGAAUCAGAGAAUAUAAGAAAUCCAUUUGUUGUAUUGUAUCAAUUAAUAUUUAAAAGAUUUAGAUUAAAUUUAGACAAUACGAAUUUGAAUGAUAUAUUUUUACAAAUUCAAAUGCAUCAGUUACAAUUAGCAUAUCGUCAUUUAACUGAUAUUUAUUGUAAUAGUACAGAAGUGAAUUCCAAAAAAAUCGAAUGUACUUUUUUUUUUCAAUUUUUUUAUGAUAUUUUAAUAAGAAUAUUUAAUGAAUUAUAUUAUUUUGAUUCAAUGAAUAUGCCAAGAGAAACAUCCUUUUUAAAAUAUAAAACAAGAGGUAAAUAUCAUGUAAAAAAAAUAAUUAUACAAUUACUAGCUUCGAAAGAUUUUCAAUAUUCACAACUUGAAAAUGUUAUUCCAAAACAAUUUAAAUAUCAUCCUAGUUUAAAUGAACUUGUUAAUAAAUAUGGACAUAUUACUUAUAUGUCAAGAAGUAAUGUUAACUUAAUUAAAUUAAAUAAAACUGCAUGGAAUUUAUAUGAUGCAUUUUGGCCUUUAGCAAGAUACAAACACUUUCAAAUAGCCAAUGAAAAAUGUAUAAAAGAAGAAAAUGCAACUUAUAUAGGUAUUUCAAAAGAUGAGGAUACUGAAUAUAUGACAUUUUCUUUUUCAAAAUUACGUGAUUUGUUAUUAUAUACUAUUCAUAAUAGUUGCUUAGUUUCUAUUUUGUUAACGAUUUUUGUUUUACAUGAUGAAUUUCAAAAACAAAUUAAUUCAAAAAAGGGAAAGGGAAAAGGAACUAGUAAAACUAAUUCUGCUAAUAAGGUUAAACGUGGUUCUACUGAUGGUGGUGAAAUAGUUGAUCUUGCUAUAAAUGGUGGGAGUGGUGCAACUGGCAUAAAUGGCACAAUCAGUGUAAAUGGUACAACUGGUGUAAAUGGCACAACUAGUGUAAAUGGUACAACUGGUGUAAAUGGUACAACUGGUGUAAAUGGCACAACUGGCGCAACUGGUAUAAAUAGAAGUGAGAGACAACGCCAAAAUCAUAAUUACCGUAACGAACCACUCGAUGAAGAUGAUGAUUAUUAUGAUGGACCCCCCAGAGAAGGAUUUCAUGAUCUUACAGAUCCUGAAUAUGGUUACUCUGAAACAUCAAGUCACGAACAUGAAUAUCGAGACAUAUCACACCAGCAACGUCAACAUUUUGAAGGAGCACGUUACGAAGAAGAAUACUUGGAUGAACCACGUUCGAAUUAUGACUACUAUGAUGAACCUCUUCAAGAAGAUCAAUUUUUUAAUGGACCACGUCAAGAAGAUGAAUAUUUUGAUGAAGAACGUCAAGAAGACGAUACCACUACAAGAAUAAUCCAGGCAAAUUUAUUUGAAAAUAAUCCUUAUUCAAUUUUUACAAGUGUGUUCAAUUCGUUAGCAAAUCACAUAAACAACUCUUUCAGUCCUACUCGUCAAGAUAAUAAUA
Long non-coding RNA from Piliocolobus tephrosceles (Ugandan red Colobus), 2183 nucleotides. The record is from Ensembl. NCBI's taxonomy places the organism in Eukaryota, Metazoa, Chordata, Mammalia, Primates, Cercopithecidae.